Molecule: long non-coding RNA, 1108 nt
Filed under: Musa acuminata (dwarf banana)
Lineage: Eukaryota; Viridiplantae; Streptophyta; Magnoliopsida; Zingiberales; Musaceae
Description: long non-coding RNA (MACU_LNC002008)
Source: RNAcentral
CCCAAGUCGUCGGCCGAAGACCAGCCAUGGCGAUCUCCCUCCGCCUCCUCCUCCCCCUUCUCCUCCUCCUCCACCUCUUACACUUCUCGGCCUCCUCGUCCUCGGGGGUGCACGACGUCCUCAAGGAUCACGGCCUCCCCAAGGGCCUCAUCCCGCACUCCGCCAGGGACUACUCGCUCGCCGACGACGGCCAGUUCGUGGUGCAUCUCAAGGCCCCCUGCUACGUCCAGUUCUCCGACCUCGUCUACUACGACCAGACCAUCACAGGCAAGCUCUCCUACGGCGCCAUCACCGACCUCGACGGCAUCCAGGUCAAGAAGCUCUUCGUCUGGUUCCCCGUCUCGGCCGUCAAGGCCCACCCGGAAUCCAAGACCAUCGAGUUCAAGGUGGGGUUCCUCUCUCAGUCGUUUCCCCUUAAGGAGUUCAAGGACGUUCCCGAUUGCGAGAAGAAGACGAGGACCUCCUGCCGUGGCGCCACCGGCUUCUCCCACGAGGAAUUGCUUCCGGUUGCUGCGGUACAACAACCGUUUCCCUAAUCUUCUGCCAGUUUAGUAGAUGUGUCGUACAGUUCUAUUGCUAAUUUAAAGAUGAGAUCCAUAGGAAAGGAGUCGGCUUAGGGGGGUUUUAAGAGAGAAAUAGGUGAUCUGAUUUGAAAUAAGGCAAGCCUUUUCCUCUCUAUGUAACUUGAGAGACUGAGAAAGUAGACUCCUGCAUCUUCUUAAAUUGGUCUGUUUGGCUUGCUAAUCCUUUUCCCCCUUUUCCCCUCCCUAUUUAGGGUGUGCUUUAAGCAUUCAAACUUGCCUUAGUUCACCAGCAUCCACUAGUGUUUGCUAUGGUAGAUUUAAUAUUUAUGCCAGGAGUCACUAUUAACGUUGACAUCAUCUCUAUUCUUUUCUAUAAAACCGCAUCACUAGAAUAGAAACAUAGUAGAAAAUUACCAAUCGAUCAAAGUUGCCAACCUUCAGCAACUCUAAAGUGAGGAGCUCAAUCGAAAUUAGCUCUCAGGGCUUAGUGGAUAAGACUUUGACUGCAGCUGAAGAGUCUGGUUUAUCAGUUAAAGAAGCAGGCAAAUCAGCUUAUUUGGUUGGGUCCUUUCUUUUAAUUUUUC